UACGUAGGGUGCAAGCGUUAAUCGGAAUUACUGGGCGUAAAGCGUGCGCAGGCGGUUAUGCAAGACAGAGGUGAAAUCCCCGGGCUCAACCUGGGGACUGCCUUUGUGACUGCAUAGCUAGAGUACGGUAGAGGGGGAUGGAAUUCCGCGUGUAGCAGUGAAAUGCGUAGAUAUGCGGAGGAACACCGAUGGCGAAGGCAAUCCCCUGGACCUGUACUGACGCUCAUGCACGAAAGCGUGGGGAGCAAACAGG
This 253-nucleotide ribosomal RNA is filed under the name uncultured bacterium. RNAcentral's name for it is "partial 16S ribosomal RNA". It matches the Rfam family "Bacterial small subunit ribosomal RNA", at positions 524 to 776 of the family's 1533-position model. The record is from RNAcentral.